CGCUCGCUCCCACUGGCUUUCGGAGCCACUGGGGACAAGCCCAGAGAGGUUGACAGAUGAGGAAACUGAGGCUCAGAGAGUGUCCCUUCCCACACGACUGGCUUGGAGUGAGAAAGUUCAGACCACCUUCAAGACAGGCCGACUGGCAGCCGAGAACGAGUUUUCCAGCGUUCUCAGGGUUUCCCCUCCGGUAUCCCUAAAACCAGCUGCUCUGGAACGUCUCUGGAGCUCAAGACACACGAGAUGAAGUAUCACCCUGACUGGAAGUUUUUAACCAUGACUCCUCAAAUGCAAAUGUCAUAAGCCAGUGAGAUCCUUUCAGAUGGAUUAGAUCUCCAUUUUACACAUGACAAAGUCCAGGCUGAGAGAGACAAGGUGUCAGGAAUGAGCUGCCAGGAACACCAGCCUCUGAAUAAGAAAUGUGUGAAAACUUUCUAGUGACAGAUUAAGACCCUAAACUGUUGAUACCAAGAGACGGGGACAACUUGGAACCUCACUGACCUCUCCUCCCCAUGUUGGCAGAUUUGGCAAAUAAAAACACAGGACACUCAAUUAAAUCUGAAUUUCAGCCCUGUGCAUUUGGAGUUGAGAAGAUUGAGAAACAAGGCCGGGCAUGGUGGCUCAUACCUGAAAUCCCAGCACUUUGGGAGGCUAAGGCGGACAUAUCACUUGAGGUCAGGGGUUCGAGACCAG
This is a long non-coding RNA of Piliocolobus tephrosceles (Ugandan red Colobus), 693 nucleotides long. RefSeq lists it as uncharacterized. NCBI's taxonomy places the organism in Eukaryota, Metazoa, Chordata, Mammalia, Primates, Cercopithecidae. The record is from RefSeq and is a predicted model, not a curated record. The transcript has 3 exons.